CAGCAGCCACGGUAAUACGUAGGGUGCAAGCGUUAAUCGGAAUUACUGGGCGUAAAGCGUGCGCAGGCGGUUUGUUAAGACAGAUGUGAAGUCCCCGGGCUCAAUCUGGGAACUGCAUUUGUGACUGGCAAGCUAGAGUGUGGCAGAGGGGGGUGGAAUUCCGCGUGUAGCAGUGAAAUGCGUAGAUAUGCGGAGGAACACCGAUGGCGAAGGCAGCCCCCUGGGCCAACACUGACGCUCAUGCACGAAAGCGUGGGGAGCAAACAGGAUUAGAUACCCGUGUAGUCCCUGUCUCUUAUAA
RNAcentral lists this ribosomal RNA (301 nucleotides) under uncultured bacterium. Its description in RNAcentral is "partial 16S ribosomal RNA". It matches the Rfam family "Bacterial small subunit ribosomal RNA", at positions 509 to 809 of the family's 1533-position model. The record is from RNAcentral.